GAGAGCUCCAAGUGGGCCAU
This 20-nucleotide small nuclear RNA is filed under the name Arabidopsis thaliana (thale cress). Its description in RNAcentral is "snRNA_06343". The record is from RNAcentral. Lineage: Eukaryota; Viridiplantae; Streptophyta; Magnoliopsida; Brassicales; Brassicaceae.